UUAUUGAAUAUAAUUUUAAGUUUGAUCUGCUCCAUGAUUUUAAAUUAAAUAGCUGCAGAAUUUUAACUGUACAAAGGUAGCAUAAUCAAUAGUUUUUUAAUUUAAAGCUUGUAUGAAAGAUUUGAUAAAGUAAAUUUUGUCUCAAAAUUAAUAAUAUUAUAAUUUUUUUUUUAGUAAAAAAACUAAAAUAAAUUUAAAAGACGAGAAGACCCUAUAGAAUUUUAUAAUUAAUUUAUUAAAAAUAAAAAAUAUUAAAAAUUUUUUUUUUAUUGAAUUAAUUAUUAGGUUGGGGAAAUUAUUAAAUUUGUAUAAUUUUAAUUUUUAUAUAACUAUAAUUAUAGAUUAUUUGAUUUUGAAGAUUUAAAUUAAUAGAAUAAAUUACCUUAGGGAUAACAGCGUAAUUUUUUUGGAUAGAUCUUAUUGAUAAAAAAGUUUGCGACCUCGAUGUUGAAUUAAGAUAAAAUGUUAAUGUAGAAGUUAAUUAAUUUUGGUCUGUUCGACCAUUAAAAUCUUA
This 514-nucleotide ribosomal RNA is filed under the name Polycyrtidea sp. BFS-2018. RNAcentral describes it as "partial 16S large subunit ribosomal RNA". The stretch from base 389 to 514 matches the Rfam family "Archaeal large subunit ribosomal RNA", at positions 2544 to 2669 of the family's 2987-position model. Lineage: Eukaryota; Metazoa; Arthropoda; Insecta; Hymenoptera; Ichneumonidae. The record is from RNAcentral.